CCUACGGGUGGCAGCAGUGGGGAAUAUUGGACAAUGGGCGAAAGCCUGAUCCAGCCAUGCCGCGUGUGUGAAGAAAGCCUUCGGGUUGUAAAGCACUUUCAGUGGGGAAGAAAGCCUUGGGGCUAAUACCCUCGAGGAAGGACAUCACCCACAGAAGAAGCACCGGCUAACUCCGUGCCAGCAGCCGCGGUAAUACGGAGGGUGCGAGCGUUAAUCGGAAUUACUGGGCGUAAAGCGCGCGUAGGCGGUCUGAUAAGCCGGUUGUGAAAGCCCCGGGCUCAACCUGGGAACGGCAUCCGGAACUGUCAGGCUAGAGUGCAGGAGAGGAAGGUAGAAUUCCCGGUGUAGCGGUGAAAUGCGUAGAGAUCGGGAGGAAUACCAGUGGCGAAGGCGGCCUUCUGGACUGACACUGACGCUGAGGUGCGAAAGCGUGGGUAGCAAACAGGAUUAGAUACCCUAGUAGUC
Molecule: ribosomal RNA, 465 nt
Filed under: Vreelandella stevensii
Lineage: Bacteria; Pseudomonadati; Pseudomonadota; Gammaproteobacteria; Oceanospirillales; Halomonadaceae
Description: partial 16S ribosomal RNA
Rfam family: Bacterial small subunit ribosomal RNA
Source: RNAcentral